GAUGGCGUAGCUCAGCGGUAGAGCGGCCGGCUCUGAUCCCGGCUGGACGGAGGUUCGAGCCCUUCCGCCAUCC
This is a transfer RNA of Roseomonas sp., 73 nucleotides long. It matches the Rfam family "tRNA". Rfam says of the family: Transfer RNA (tRNA) molecules are approximately 80 nucleotides in length. The record is from Rfam. NCBI's taxonomy places the organism in Bacteria, Pseudomonadati, Pseudomonadota, Alphaproteobacteria, Acetobacterales, Roseomonadaceae.